AAACACAAGGGAAUGGAUCACACCUUACAAUUAGAGAACAGGAAACACACCUCAGAUCAAGCAGACUGAACAGUUGCUUCUGUCCUGUAUGAGCUUUUACACCUUGCAUCAAUAUAAUGUCUUUGUUUACAGCUAUUAAUGUACACUGUGGAAUGGAACGAAAAUUGGGUAGCAUUUUAUGUAGGACCAGAAAUAUCUUGUAACCCACUAAUCCAAGAGAACACACUGAUCCCAGAGAAACCACUGAACCCAGAGAGCCCAACCUAGAAGACCCAUUGAAAGAAGUGAAGAAAAAGACAAUGAUUUCAGACAAUCCUUUGAACCCAGCCAGUGUUGAGGAAACACUCGCUGAGGCAACAUGAGGAAGAAACCUUGAGAGGACCCAGAUUUAGAAAGGAAGCCAUCUUCAUCAGGGUGACAAAGGAGAGUGUGAUCUUUUCCCUUCUAUAACUGUAUACUAUAUGGCCAAAAAGUGCAAUUAUGUAACUGGCAUUCAUUAUGAAGUUUAUUCACUAAUAAACACACACAUGCACAUGUUCACACAGUACUUAAUAAUGAAUCAUAGCAUCCAUAAUUAACUAAGUUUACUUUAGCUUUACAAAAGAAAAAAUGCUCAUUGAGGAGGAAUGUGCUAAGCCUCCAGGAUUUGCUCACAAAGCAUGUUC
Tachysurus fulvidraco (yellow catfish) is the source of this 665-nucleotide long non-coding RNA. RefSeq lists it as uncharacterized. NCBI's taxonomy places the organism in Eukaryota, Metazoa, Chordata, Actinopteri, Siluriformes, Bagridae. The record is from RefSeq and is a predicted model, not a curated record. The transcript is spliced from 3 exons.